CCUGAAUAUACUAAUCAAGGUCUAAGGGUUACUGGAGUUAAGACUCAAAGUUGGCAUGUUCUUAAGGAAUUUGAUUCUUAUUUUAUUCACAAACGAUCUUUGAGUUUGAGGAUUAAUAAUUAAUUGCUUUUUCAAGUGCUUCCUUGUCGCUGGAAAUGGUGCCUGAAGUCUGGUAUUAAACCCAUUUUUGUAAAACAUUCUAUUCAGGAGACUCAACAGCUGCCCAGUGAGGCGUCUGUGUUGAUGACCAAGGAUGUUGAGAGAUAAUCUGCACAUCUUAAAGAGCUCAGUUUUUUUUCUUCACCUCCACUCCUUGAUGGAAGUCCACUCGUAGUUGACUUUGUCAGUCCUACAGAAUUCCAAGUGAGGCCCUGAAAGUGUUAAUAGCGGUUUCUCCUGAGAAAAUCAACAGCUGCUGAGGGGGAAUGUUAAAGAACGUGGCGCGUCUCCCAGAAAUCCUAUAUAAUUCAACCAAUCAGAUGACGACUUGGAAACUCCUGUAAUGUUUCCAGUUUUGUGUGCUGUAUGCAUCAGAUGUUCAGCCAGCGGUCCGUGGGCAUGAUGGCUGAGACUAGAAUCAACCAGGCACGGAUGCCCUCUUCUCUCUCUCAAGGUGAGCUGUGCAGCUGCUUGGAUGAGUUGGAUGUGAUCCUGUCCCGUUCCUUAAUGGCAGCUCACUUGUAUUCAUUGAGGGUUUCAUUGGUCUGUCCACUCAGCUGGUCCUCCAGGGGCUUUUAUCAACUGGCAUGCAAAGAUGUUGCAGAUCUGUUGGCUCUCCAGAUGCUCGUCAUAUGGCUGGAACUCCUAAUUCCUCCUUGCUGCUAUCUCUCUGGAAUGCUGGAGCCUCCUGCUUGGAAUGUCCUCCAGAUCUACUGACUCGACAUUGGAUCACAACUGUGUCAAACCGAACUUGGCACUUUACGUUUCCUCCCUUGAGCUCGUUCUACCAGUGGUUCCUGGACAUUAUAGUGUUCAACCCAGUGCAGCCCGUCCUUCUAUUUGUUUGCAGAGUCUGCUUGUCUGGUAUGAUUACAGAGUAGUAACUUGCAACACUUAUCUGUAGUGAUCUCC
This is a long non-coding RNA of Sinocyclocheilus grahami, 1071 nucleotides long. RefSeq lists it as uncharacterized. The record is from RefSeq and is a predicted model, not a curated record. Lineage: Eukaryota; Metazoa; Chordata; Actinopteri; Cypriniformes; Cyprinidae. The transcript is spliced from 9 exons.